RNAcentral lists this ribosomal RNA (234 nucleotides) under uncultured bacterium. Its description in RNAcentral is "partial 16S ribosomal RNA". It matches the Rfam family "Bacterial small subunit ribosomal RNA", at positions 99 to 334 of the family's 1533-position model. The record is from RNAcentral.
CGGACGGGUGAGUAACGCGUGGGUAACCUGCCUCACACUGGGGGAUAACAGUUAGAAAUAGCUGCUAAUACCGCAUAAGCGCACAGUUCCGCAUGGAACAGUGUGAAAAACUCCGGUGGUGUGAGAUGGACCCGCGUCUGAUUAGCCAGUUGGCGGGGUAACGGCCCACCAAAGCGACGAUCAGUAGCCGGCCUGAGAGGGUGAACGGCCACAUUGGGCUGAGACACGGCCCAA